RNAcentral lists this long non-coding RNA (3294 nucleotides) under Stegodyphus dumicola. Its description in RNAcentral is "uncharacterized LOC118200970". The record is from RNAcentral. Lineage: Eukaryota; Metazoa; Arthropoda; Arachnida; Araneae; Eresidae.
UUAGGUAUAUUGUAUACUCUGUGUCAUUUUCUCAGUAUCAACAGUAACUGGCCGGAAGAGGGCGGGCAGGCCAAGGAGCGAACUGCCCGCCAAUUCCAACUGUUCGUUUCCAACCCAGCAUGGGUGGACCUUCACAGAAUAAGAACGUUCCAUCCGUUUCCUUCCAGGUGUCUCACCAAAACGGAGCCUGCAAGCCAGGAAUGUUAUUGAUGGUACCUACCCCGAACUCAUCCAGUAUGUCCUCCAAAUCACUUGGACACACUGAUCUCAGUUCUGUUUCGGAUGAGAACAGUUCAUGUGACAUCUCUCGCAGCAAGAACAGCACGGACGACACAGCUGCAGCAACUGAGGACGAAGAAGGCAGCAAUGAUGUCCUCAGGGACAAUAUAAAAAAAUUUAACACAUUGACUCCCUGCAUCGUAAUCGAAACUGAGGAAGAAACGAGCUUAGACAAAACAACAUUGGAUCCCAGCAACAUGGUCUAGUCUUUCAGCAAGAAAUAACAUUUUUUGAUGAUUCUGUCUGCAUUAAACCUUUUGUAUACUUACUUGUGAUAUCUCAAGUGAUGCAGACACUCAAUGAAGAUAAUUUAACUUUAUUUGGUGCAAAGCUAAUCUGAGAAUAUUGGGAAGCAGGGAAGAGAAAUUUUCUUUUAAUGUUCUUGCUUUUCUUAUUAUUGAACAUUAUUUCUGAAGUUAUUUGGAUAUUUAUUAUUGUUUUUUUCAGUUAGCGUAAAUGUUCUGUUCAACAAGUUUUGUUUGUACAUUUAUGAUCACCAAUCUGUGAUCACCUAUAUUUUUUCCACUUGCAGGACUGGAAUUAUCAUUAUUUUCGCAAGUUCUAUAAAAAUAUCGAAAACAAUAGUCCUUAACGAGCUGUGUAAGAACUUUCCAGAUCUGUAUGGCUGUAGCGCAAAUGCAUGUAAUUCAUAUGCCAUUCUAGUUCUGCUAUUAAAUCUUUUGAAAGAAUGGGUAAUAAUAGAAUUUUAAUCUUUGCAUUAUAAAUUAGACAUCAAAUGAAGGACCUAAACUAUAAAUUUUUUGGGGAACUCUGACAUCAUAUUCUGAGUUACUAAAUAAUAUGCAUAAGAUUGAACAAUUAUGAAUUUCAAUACACCAUUAGCUCAUUCUUUUGGACUAAAAUAUAUUCCGAGAUAUAUUGCUUCACAGAUAUGUACUUUUUGUGUCUUUCCUCAUGAUUUCAGAUUAACUUUGUCCCAAAUAUGGAUUACACAAUGACAACAUGAAAAGUACAUUGAAAUAAGACUCUUUGUAACGGUUUUUGCAUAUAAUACCCAGACCUUUUGUACGAAAAUUGUUAAAGCUUUUAGGCUUCCAGGUACUUGUAUAAAGUGUUGGUACAUCUGAAGUAGUUACCUGCAGCACUAAACAUUUGUCUUACCGAAAUAUUUCUGUCUGUAUUUGGAAAAUGAAUAUAAAGAAGAAUGUUAGUCUUUUAAGCUAGCUUUCUUUUCUAAGACUACCUUCUGUAUGUAUUUUAGAAUUCGUUUUUCUUAUCGCAGUUGUCCUCAGUUAUUGCGUACUUUACUCGUAGUAUCCCAAGCCAUCAUCAUAAUACGAGUUAAUAUUGCGUUUAUCCAGCAUCGCAAUGUAACUAAGUAUUGCACCUUUUAAUCAAUUUCAUCUUUAACUCUUAUACAAGUGGUAUUUUAAACUAUAAUAUGAAUUAUUAAAUUCUUGCUUCACAAAUUCCCACAGAUAUUCAUAAAUAUUUUGACAACUUCUUUAAGAAGAAUCACUUUAAUAUUUUAAUCGAAUUUAUUUUGCACUGCGAGCAAUAUAUUCAGUUUAAAAAUCGCAGUACAAACCAAAUUCGAUUCUACAGUAGUUCCAUAUUUUAAUUUAAAUUAUGGUCCAGUUACAGAAUUUGCCUUAAGAAGACAUUUUUCAGUACUUUUCUAAUAAAAAUCAUUUACAAUGUUUCAAUCAAAUAAUAAAUUUUCAAUGUUUUGGAGCUCAUAUUAAUUUACUUAAAAUAGUAAAUACUCAUUUUUCAAGUUAAUCUUUGCUAUUUUUCACUAACAAAGCUGCAAUAUUUGCUAAUUAAACUGCUUUCAUUUUGGCUAGUCUCUAGCAUUUAUUCUUUACAAUUUUACUUCAUUUUUCAUUUUAACAAUAAAUUAUUAAUUAAAUUCUUAAAAAUUGUUUAAUUAAAGUAAAUUCUAUUACAUAUUGCAUUGAAUUUCAUAUGCAUCUCAUUGCCAAAAUUUAUUCUACUGUUAGCUGUGAAUGAAGAAUUAAGAAAUUUAAAUAGUAAAUUUAAUUUGAGUUUAAGUAAUUAAAUUUUCUUCCUUUCACUACUUUACAGCCUAAAUGAAAGUAAAGGCUAAGCAACAAUAGCUGUACUGGAAUACUUUUCAACUAGAGAGUUUCGAGCUCUUAUUCUGUUGAUCUUAAGAUAAUUUAGAAGAAUUUUACGCAUUUCGAAGGCAUGAGAAGUUACUCAAGACUUUACCUCAAAUUUUAUUUAAGGUACUUUCUAGCCUAAAAAUCGAUUUCUUCUGUUUGGAAUUCAGUGCUGCAUAUCGAAAAAUAUUUUGUAAAUUAAAAACGUAAAGAAGAAAGAGCAUUUAAAAUUCGCCAGUGAUUACCUUAAAAACAUUUUAACAAGCACAAUAAUAAUUUGUUAUAGAUUUUGAUGUUACACGGCGACGCGUUUUUCAAAAAGAUUCCACUUUUUCAAAUAACAUUUUCAUCAAUAAGAAAUAAUGUUUUAUAUUGAGUACUAAUUUUGAUAAGACGCAGAAUUUUUUUUUUUUUUUUUUUUUUUUUUUUUUUUUUUUUUUUUUUUGUUUUUUGUUUGUUUAUGUGAGCAGCAACGAAAAAUUUCAUUUAAAUAAGCUAUAUCAAAAAGUCUUCAUUGUUUGAAAGAACACGUAGGGAGCACAAAUCAAAAUAACAAUGAUAAAAAAAAUCAAAAAACGAAACACUUGAUAUUUCGAUUUGCACAAGAAUGUAAAAUAGAAAGUUUUGAAAUUCUAACUACGUACUAGUCAUUUUCAAAUUUUCUACUAUUAGUGAAAGUAUUUUGUAAAGUUUUAAAAAUAUGAUAUUGUUUACAAUAAUUCAUAUUGAUGAAAUUCACAAAAUUUUGAGUUCCACAAUUAUUACCAAAGUGUACAUUUCAGUACAAAUGAAAUUUAUUGUCAUUAUUAGUUUUAAAAUUUGAUACAAAAGUAGUUAUUACGUUUAUGUACUUCUACGGAAUUGCAGCAACCGCAUUCUGUUCGCAAUCUUUGUAUAAGAACAAUAAACAAAUGCUUCUUUGAGAAAG